Molecule: ribosomal RNA, 28 nt
Filed under: Trichuris trichiura (human whipworm)
Lineage: Eukaryota; Metazoa; Nematoda; Enoplea; Trichinellida; Trichuridae
Also listed under: 1 other name
Description: partial 5.8S ribosomal RNA
Source: RNAcentral
AUGUCGACGCUACGCCUGUCUGAGGGUC